GGACCCGCACAAGCGGUGGAGCAUGUGGUUUAAUUCGACGCAACGCGAAGAACCUUACCAGGUCUUGACAUCCCUCUGCCGUCUGUAGAGAUACAGAUUUCCCUUUUGGGACGGAGGAGACAGGUGGUGCAUGGUUGUCGUCAGCUCGUGUCGUGAGAUGUUGGGUUAAGUCCCGCAACGAGCGCAACCCUCGUCGUUAGUUACCAGCAUUUUAGGAUGGGGACUCUAACGAGACUGCCAGCGAUAAGCUGGAGGAAGGUGGGGAUGACGUCAAAUCAUCAUGCCCCUUAUGACCUGGGCUACACACGUGCUACAAUGGGUGGUACAAAGGGAAGCGAAGCGGUGACGUGGAGCAAAUCCCAAAAAGCCACUCUCAGUUCGGAUUGUAGUCUGCAACUCGACUACAUGAAGUCGGAAUCGCUAGUAAUCGUGGAUCAGCAUGCCACGGUGAAUACGUUCCCGGGUCUU
This 468-nucleotide ribosomal RNA is filed under the name uncultured bacterium. RNAcentral's name for it is "bacterial SSU rRNA". It matches the Rfam family "Bacterial small subunit ribosomal RNA", at positions 917 to 1382 of the family's 1533-position model. The record is from RNAcentral.